Molecule: unclassified non-coding RNA, 379 nt
Filed under: uncultured Oligoflexales bacterium
Lineage: Bacteria; Pseudomonadati; Bdellovibrionota; Oligoflexia; Oligoflexales
Description: contains 16S-23S intergenic spacer region
Source: RNAcentral
UCCGUGUUAACCACGGCAGUCUGUCUAGAGUGCCCAACUUAAUGCUGGCAACUAAACACAGGGGUUGCGCUCGUUGAGGGACUUAACCCGACAUGCCACCACACGAGCUGACGACAGCCAUGCAGCACCUGUCUCUUUGUCGUAUUGCUACGAAAGUACUAUCUCUAGUAUUGUCAAAGGAUGUCAAACCUAGGUAAGGUUCUGCGCGUUGCUUCGAAUUAAACCACAUAAUCCACCGCUUGUGCGGGCUCCCGUCAAUUCCUUUGAGUUUUAGUCUUGCGACCGUACUUCCCAGGCGCGGUACUUAUCGCGUUAGCUCCGAGACGGCAGGGGUCAACUCCCACCAUCUCUAGUACCGAUCGUUUACAGCGUGGACUAC